Molecule: ribosomal RNA, 252 nt
Filed under: uncultured Bacteroidales bacterium
Lineage: Bacteria; Pseudomonadati; Bacteroidota; Bacteroidia; Bacteroidales
Description: partial 16S ribosomal RNA
Rfam family: Bacterial small subunit ribosomal RNA
Source: RNAcentral
UACGGAGGAUGCGAGCGUUAUCCGGAUUUAUUGGGUUUAAAGGGUGCGUAGGCGGGCUGUUAAGUCAGCGGUAAAAGCCCGGGGCUCAACCCCGGCGAGCCGUUGAAACUGGCUGUCUUGAGAUGUCGAGAGGUAUGCGGAAUGCGCAGUGUAGCGGUAAAAUGCGUAGAUAUAUGGAAGAACACCAGUGGCGAAGGCGGCCGCCUGGCCUGUUACUGACGCUGAGGCACGAAAGCGUGGGGAGCAAAUAGG